This 1842-nucleotide long non-coding RNA is filed under the name Apis dorsata (giant honeybee). RNAcentral describes it as "uncharacterized LOC102675704, transcript variant X5". The record is from RNAcentral. Lineage: Eukaryota; Metazoa; Arthropoda; Insecta; Hymenoptera; Apidae.
CCCUUCCUCGCAGUCACGGCUCAAGGUACAGCCGAUACGAAGCGCCACGGGUUACAACGCUAAUAAUCAAUCGAAUUAAUUUUAAUCUACGAUGGUCCUUUUUUUCCCGUAAUGAAUCUUGAAAUAAUGUUACAAUAAAAGAUAUAAUUGACAUAAAGCUUGUUCGAUACGUGCAUAUAUUUAGUGAUUUAAAGGCAAAUAGAAAAAAACGGUAAAACACGUGUUCAUCAUAAAUUUACAUCUAGUACUUUCUUGCAAAGUUAUAGGAUUGCAUCCUGUAAGACGGACACAAAAAGCUCGGAACAAAGGAGAGGAUGAAUUCAACUAGCAUUAUACCAAUGUACCAUGAAGCUACAGAGAUGGUUUAAUCAUAAUUACUAACAAAAAAAACUAUGAGGUAUUUCCAUUUAAUCCAAGCUUAUUUGAACGAAAAUCUUUACGUCAUAAUUAAACGUUAUCUAUCGAAGUACAUGAUACAAUAACCAAAAGGCAAAAGAGCUAUUUCAUUCUUUCAAGUUCUCCAGCUUUGUAUAGACUAAGGAAGCUGUAUAACCAUUAGUGUUAAUCAAUUUCCACGAGGAUUUAUUGCCCCUUUAUGAAGAACUUUUUAAGCUCAUUUACUUUUUCUCUUAUUUAAGAGAAACUUCUGCAUCGUUUCAUCACUCUAUAUUAAUGAUGGAUACAAACUUUUAAAUUUAUGAUAUGACUAAAACGUGAAUAAACGCUAUUGUAUCAAAGAACAGUGUGAAAAAUCUCAUCAAAGAAGAAACAAAAGGAAAUAACUGUAAAAGAUAGAUUAAGGUCAAGUAAGGUGAAGUUCAGCGGUAAGAAUGAAAAGGAGGUGCAGGUGGAGACGGAUCAAAGUAAUUUUAAACAACCGUGCGACUGGUUUCUCGAGAUUUCACGCUGGUUCCUGACAGGUAAUGCCCUCGGGACGCACAUGGAAAAAAACCAAAUGGAAACCUAAUGUAUCGCCUCAGACGGACCUGUCAUUGAAACUGAUCAUUCCACGCGGGAGGUACGGGUCCUUGCGUCUUAUUCAUGACCGACUACUUCUGGCCAAUCAUCUCGCAUUCUGAAUGGGCCACCUGCAGUUACAGAGAGAAGGGAUGCAUGAUAAACUCGAACCGUUUGACCAGAUAGAUUAGUUCAGAACUUCUUUCUUCGAACAGAUAAUGGACAAUGCGAGGUUUCAUCGUGCAUGGAUUUUCGUAUAAAAAGAUAAGAAGCGCAGAAGAGGAAAGUCACAUGAAUCAAUGUAUGUAGAAAGAUAAGGAUUGUUCAAGGACAAUGGAGUUUAAAGAGACAAAUGGUAAACUUCGCGUCUCAAUUUUUAUGGAUUCGAAAACAUGCAUUCGGAAAGUCAUGUUUUACAUUCGAUAGAUUCCACGACAAAGAGAAAACAUGAAAAAAGAAAAUGAUGAAAAAGGGAAGAACAAACGCGGUUGUUCAAAGACACAUCGAUAUUCCCUAUGCUCUCCAUCUUGUCGUCACGAUAUAAAAUACCGGCUAAAAAAGGAGCGCUGAAUGGCCGAUACCCGACUAAAAACCGGACUUGCUCUCGUUACACGAAGCCAAAGAAACGAAGCAGUUGGCUACAGCACGGUGCAGGUGGGUUGCCAGAUGGCCAGAACGGAAACAGUGAAUGAAGGAACGAAAAGAAACGAAAGGAACACCGUUCAUCACGAAUACGCGACAAGACAAACGCGACCGCACGAACCGAAUACCAAUUUCGAGUUCCUGUCGCGCGAUUCUGGAUAUUUAUUCUCAUUUUGUUCAACAUGUUGUAAAAUUCCACAUAAUUAUAAAGAACAGAAAAAAAUUAUUGAUUUGAAUGAGAUA